GCAAAGUAGCACGCACGCCGAAUCUUCUCGCGAGCACGUUGCGCCGCGAGUCGCUCGGAAUACGGAUAGUGGUAACUUCGUAAUUUCGCACACCAACCUUGUCGAUAAAUCUCAUUUCACACACACACCCCCCCGCCGUCUCUCUCUCUCUCUCUCUCUCUCUCUCUGUCUCUAAGAGUGUCUUGACAAAUUAUCACUACUUUCAAAGAGAUGGUCGUGGUGUAGAGACUAGCGAGGCGGUUGUUGGUUGAGCUCUGAAGAUGGGGAAUUGGAGAGGGCGUCAGAGCAGAAACUAUAAACGCGACGCCCAGCGAUCCCAUUACGCAGAGCUCCCUCCUCCGAUCCCUACUUCCGGGUACUGGCAAAACAGUGUGCCUUCAUGGGAAAAGAAAUUCUGCACUUCAGUUGGAUCAAUUCCAUGGCGGAAGGUUGUGGAUACCAAGAAGUUCAUGCACUACUAUAGUAAUGUGCUAAGUUGGAAUGACUCAGCUGGUGAAGAAGCAUUCUGCAAUGCAAAACAGCGCUUUUGGGCAGAUAUCAAUGGCCUUUCCUGUGACAUAUCUCUACCUGAUCGAGAUAUCUAUAUUGAUGAAAUUGAUUGGAAUCCUUACAUUGAUCCUGAACUAAUAUUGGACUUGGAUCGAGAAUAUGUAUCUCCUGAUGAUGUUGAAAUGGGUACCAGAAAGAAGACCAAGUCAUUUUCUGGUUGUGUGUCAGAAGGCUAUAAUAGAGAUUCAGAAAAUGGUGCCAAUCCUUGGGAAUGUAACUAUAUUGAGGGCAGUGGAGCUUUGAAGGAUCAAGAUGGAGGUUGGGGCAAGUGGGAUAACUUUAUCUCCGAGUCAAAAGAUUUGCAUUCUGAUAAUCAACCUCGGGAGCAAAGCCAUACUAGGGGCACUGGAACCAUGAAAGAUAAUCCUUGGGUCUGUGCCAAUCAGUCAAAGGAUUUCAAUAAUGGUAACAAUCCUUGGGAAUCUGGUGGUCAAGAUGGUGUGAAAGAUAAAGGAUGGAAUGAUUUUUCUGGUGAUUCACGGGGUCUGAAACAUUGGGGAAACAAUAUUAUUGAGUCUAGGAAUUUGUAUAGCAGCAAUAGCAAUUCUUGGGGACAUGGUUGUCAAGGCAGUGUUCUUGUGAAGAAUAAAAGAUGGGGUGAUUUUUCUGGUGAUUCAUGGGGUCUGAAAGGUUGGGGAAACAAUAUUAGUGAAUUUAGGAAUGUCUGCAAUAGUAGCAAUCCUUGGGAAUGUGACAUUCCUAAUAAUGGUGGUUCAAAAGAUAGUGGAUGGAAAGUUCAUGGGGAAAAUUGUGAUGGCUGGAACAAGUGGGAAAGCAAUCAUAUUAAUGAUCCUAAAAAUUUGGAAUCUAGGAGAACCGGUGGUUGGGGAGCCUGGAAUGGUGGUUGUAGGAAGAGAGAAGGUUCUCAUCAGUAUAUGCAAAGGUACAAAAGCUCCAGGUUUCAAGGUGAUGACCAGCAAGCAGGUAAUGGCUGGAGGAAGGCAAGAGCUAACAAGAGGGUAACUUUUUCUUUCGAGUAGUCAUUGCUCCAUUUAAGAAUCUUUCCACGUUGAAAUGUGGAUUGUUUUUUAUAAUAGCUUCAUUAUGGAUCUGGCGAAGUCCAUGGAGUUUGGAGAAGCCAACUUUUCAGAUACCAUUACCAACACUGAAGCAAGAGCUUUUGGUGUGCAGUUUACUAUAAUACAGUUAAUACCAGAUUGGAUGGCAUGUAAGACAACCUCGAUACAGUUGUCUGGGACUUGGCUAACUUCACAGAACAAUUUUAUACAUAUUUUGGAACUUCUAUUGACAAUCAGAUGAGACUCAUAUAUAGAUUCUGCAAUUUGUAUUCCAUUUAUGCAUCUUGUCUUUUGGCUGUUCGCAUCAAUUUGGCAUUGUGGUCAAACCAGCAACGGAGCACAUGCUUUGAAUGGAUAUUGGCACCCUAGUCUUUUGCAUGUUUAAAUGCUAAACAGAAUAUAGUCUUCCAACCAGUUUCCUGUUAUUCAGAUCUUGGCUUUUGUGAAUGGAGAAGUCCAAAUUUAUGGACCAAAGGUAAAAUAUUUCAUGUUCAUUUCUAGAAGAAUAACAGCAAGAACGGUGGUCAUGUUGAGCAGACAUUCAUAAUUCUAAAGAAGGAAGUAUAUGAGAGAACCGCAUGUGAUUUCUCCUGCUUUUCUUUUAUUUGUAGAUGUUUGGGUGAUGCUAAUGAUCAGUGAAUGAUUGCUUUAUCGAAUAGGCCUUUCUGUAAUAUAGAUGGAUACUUUAUUUAAUGGAAAGUUGUGAAGAUAAUAUGUGAAUGAUCGGCUUUAUGCUUAUGGCCUGAUGAUUCUGUUUCCCGCAGCGAUUAUGUAGUAGUAUUAUGAGAGCUUUCGGCCCAUAUUUCUUAAAGCAU
RNA transcript from Malania oleifera, 2383 nucleotides. It is a transcript of the gene named protein RNA-directed DNA methylation 3-like, with no coding region annotated. Lineage: Eukaryota; Viridiplantae; Streptophyta; Magnoliopsida; Santalales; Ximeniaceae. The transcript has 3 exons. The record is from RefSeq and is a predicted model, not a curated record.